RNAcentral lists this ribosomal RNA (464 nucleotides) under uncultured bacterium. RNAcentral describes it as "partial 16S ribosomal RNA". It matches the Rfam family "Bacterial small subunit ribosomal RNA", at positions 339 to 795 of the family's 1533-position model. The record is from RNAcentral.
CUACGGGGGGCAGCAGUGGGGAAUAUUGCGCAAUGGGGGAAACCCUGACGCAGUGACGCCGUGUGAGUGAUGAAGGUUUUCGGAUCGUAAAGCUCUGUCAGACGGGAAGAAUAAGGGCAGUCAAAAUAUGAUUGUCUGAUGACGGUACCGUCAGAGGAAGCACCGGCUAACUCCGUGCCAGCAGCCGCGGUAAUACGGAGGGUGCAAACGUUGUUCGGAAUUACUGGGCGUAAAGCGCAUGUAGGCGGAUGUGUAGGUCAGAUGUGAAAGCCCUUGGCUCAACCAAGGAAGUGCAUCUGAACCACAUGUCUGGAGUAUGACAGAGGGAAGUGGAAUUCCCAGUGUAGAGGUGAAAUUCAUAGAUAUUGGGAAGAACACCGGUGGCGAAGGCGGCUUUCUGGGUCAUUACUGACGCUGAGAUGCGAAAGCGUGGGGAGCAAACAGGAUUAGAUACCCUAGUAGUC